AUACGGAGGAUGCAAGCGUUAUCCGGAUUCAUUGGGUUUAAAGGGUGCGUAGGCGGCUUUUUAAGUCAGUGGUGAAAUCCUGUCGCUCAACGAUAGAAUUGCCAUUGAUACUGAAGAGCUUGAGUUCAGUUGAGGUAAGCGGAAUGUGUAGUGUAGCGGUGAAAUGCUUAGAUAUUACACAGAACACCGAUUGCGAAGGCAGCUUACUAAACUGACACUGACGCUGAUGCACGAAAGCGUGGGGAUC
RNAcentral lists this ribosomal RNA (247 nucleotides) under uncultured bacterium. RNAcentral's name for it is "partial 16S ribosomal RNA". It matches the Rfam family "Bacterial small subunit ribosomal RNA", at positions 523 to 769 of the family's 1533-position model. The record is from RNAcentral.